This 75-nucleotide transfer RNA is filed under the name Caulobacter sp. D5. Its description in RNAcentral is "tRNA-Val". It matches the Rfam family "tRNA". Rfam says of the family: Transfer RNA (tRNA) molecules are approximately 80 nucleotides in length. Their secondary structure includes four short double-helical elements and three loops (D, anti-codon, and T loops). The record is from RNAcentral. Lineage: Bacteria; Pseudomonadati; Pseudomonadota; Alphaproteobacteria; Caulobacterales; Caulobacteraceae. RNAcentral also lists the same sequence under 1 other name.
GGGCGGUUAGCUCAGCGGUAGAGCGUCUCGCUUACACCGAGAAUGUCGGGGGUUCGAUCCCCUCACCGCCCACCA